GAUGAACGCUGGCGGCAUGCCUAAGACAUGCAAGUCGAACGAGGUGGCCCAUUGAAGUCUGAGUGCUUGCACAAAGAUGGAUUUGGAUUUUCCGCCUAGUGGCAAACGGGUGAGUAACACGUGGGUUACCUACCUCUAAGUUGGGGAUAACAACUGGAAACGGUUGAUAAUACCGAAUGUGCUCUAUGGAGUAAAGAAGCCCUUAAAGCUUCGCUUAGAGAUGGGCCUGCGGCGUAUUAGUUAGUUGGUGGGGUAAUGGCCUACCAAGACAGCGAUGCGUAGCCGAACUGAGAGGUUAAUCGGCCACACUGGGACUGAGACACGGCCCAG
This 330-nucleotide ribosomal RNA is filed under the name uncultured bacterium. RNAcentral describes it as "bacterial SSU rRNA". It matches the Rfam family "Bacterial small subunit ribosomal RNA", at positions 28 to 334 of the family's 1533-position model. The record is from RNAcentral.